AUACAAGAAAUCGUUCGUUAUACAUCCUCAAGCUAAAGCUGUACUAAUUUAGACAAAAUGCGAACACCAUCUACCACUAAAACUGUUAGUAUUUGAUGAACAAUACAACUACGAAAGAUCGACUUACACAAACCCCAUCUAGCUGGGCACAGCACAUCAAUGACGCAUUUUAAUAAUGGCAGAGUUUUACUUCGAACGUAGACAUGAUCUUUAGCUUUCUCACUGAGACCUGUUCUCAUUUGCAUAAGGUAGGCAUUAAGUUGAGACUUGCAGUCGUUAUUUCCCGGUUCAAGCAUCUCGCACCUUCCAUCCGAGACAUACCCAUAAGCCCAAAGGAUUAAGGUCGAAACAUAUAAGCACCAGGGUCUAUGAAGACCUGUUUCAUUCUGAACAUCAUAUUCCAUAUCACCUCCUAAAAAAGCUUCAACCAUAUCCACGGCGUGCUUAAUAGAUACUUCAGAAUCAUCAGAAGCUAACCAAGCAGAAACAUAGCGCGAUGUACUCGCAUAGAGUCUUCUAGAAGUGGAGACUAUUGAUUUUGCAUAGGUUUGUAAAGCAACUAUGUUAGUAUGCAGCGAAAUAUGAGCCAAUUCAUAUGUAGCCAAACAGCCUCGCACGUAAGGAUGAUUGAGUGGUAAAGUACCAUUAUUUAGAAAGAAUACACGGUAGGUACGAAGCCAAAACUUGUAAGAUGCUUUAAGUAAAAUCCUCCAGUUUUUCAAGUUGGUUCCAUUGUUUUGCAUGAUAUUUUCUACAAUACCUUUAAAACCAGUUAGUUAUUGAAAUCGUUAAAUUAGAAAUUGCAAUGCUCGUACCCAAAUUCUCUCUACUUAAUAUCCAACCAAUGGUAGUUAAUCCGUGCAACACAAUCAUCAUAUUCCAAGGACUUAAUUUAGGAGGAAGAUGCUCGUUUGUUAAGAACAUUUUCAAGACGGGAAAGAAAUGGGGUGGAUCGUUUUCAUUUAAGAGAGAUGUCCAUGCUUCAUAGCUAUCGGCGUUCCAGAGAGCUUCAUCACAUAAUAGAGGUAAGCCAACGCUAGUGAUAUCAAUUAACGGUCUAUAUCCAAAUAAAAUAACAUGCUGAGAGUCUAAUACAAAUGAAAAAAAUGCGAUUCUAAUAGUGUUAAUAACCAUCACUUAAAGUCACCAGAUAAAUUACCUUUUCGAGGCUUCUCGAUCAACCCACUGAUGCCAUUUGUGUUGUGCAAUAUUCGUUCCUGUCAUGUUUUUUGGAAUUUUCUCGGUGACGGUAUCUUUUGAAGACAGCCCAUUUUGCAUAGACUAGAAUUAGUUAGAGAAAGUAUUA
This is a non-coding RNA of Schizosaccharomyces pombe (fission yeast), 1306 nucleotides long. NCBI's taxonomy places the organism in Eukaryota, Fungi, Ascomycota, Schizosaccharomycetes, Schizosaccharomycetales, Schizosaccharomycetaceae. The record is from the annotation of a GenBank genome assembly.